UAACUGAAGAGUUUGAUCAUGGCUCAGAUUGAACGCUGGCGGCAGGCUUAACACAUGCAAGUCGAGCGGGGGAAGGUAGCUUGCUACCGGACCUAGCGGCGGACGGGUGAGUAAUGCUUAGGAAUCUGCCUAUUAGUGGGGGACAACAUCUCGAAAGGGAUGCUAAUACCGCAUACGUCCUACGGGAGAAAGCAGGGGAUCUUCGGACCUUGCGCUAAUAGAUG
This 224-nucleotide ribosomal RNA is filed under the name Acinetobacter baumannii. RNAcentral's name for it is "partial 16S ribosomal RNA". It matches the Rfam family "Bacterial small subunit ribosomal RNA", at positions 1 to 227 of the family's 1533-position model. The record is from RNAcentral. Lineage: Bacteria; Pseudomonadati; Pseudomonadota; Gammaproteobacteria; Moraxellales; Moraxellaceae.